This 2151-nucleotide long non-coding RNA is filed under the name Homo sapiens (human). RNAcentral's name for it is "non-protein coding lnc-MAP10-9:3". The record is from RNAcentral. Lineage: Eukaryota; Metazoa; Chordata; Mammalia; Primates; Hominidae.
AGUCUCACCGUCCGCCCGGCUCCGGGCGCAGCCGGUGCGCUGUUCCCAGGCCCCGCGGCGCGCGGGAGCUGCGCGUCCAGGAGGGGCCCGGACGCCCUUCUUGGGGAGGGGGCUGCGGGGCGCAUCAUGAGCGGCGCUGGGCGAGCUCGAGGGCCGGGCAGCCUACCUGGACCCCGGCUUCUAGAGAGCCGUCGCCGUCCUUGUCGAGACUCGCUUUCGCCCCUCUGAGGAAUAAGUUAAAAACCGCGAGUCUGGUUCUGAGCCGCCCCCUGGCGCAGGCGCGACCCCACCCGGCCCUCCCGUCUCCCAACUUGGGACAGACGCGGCGGCCGGGCGGUCGGAUCCGUGAGCCUCGGCCGCUGGGGCUACAUACACAGCCCAGGACGCCACAGAAUCGCCGAGGCCCCGCGAACGCCCAAACGGCCGCAAGUCGAAGUGAUCCCAUCUGAAGAAGACAGCGCGAGGAAGCGAGACCCUGCUGUGUGCCGGCCCCCGGAGGGCGCCCCGGGCCCUGUGGGUCGGAGGGUGGGGAAGCACAGAGAAACACGCAGGCAGUAAAACGUUAGGAGGACAGGGGGUGCCAGCGUGCAGGAAAUGCUGCUAAGAGACCUUUAGGAGCCAAGGGGAAAACGGAGAGAUUGGCAGUUCCAGGCACCCACAUCCCAGCGCGGUCCGCUCACCCCUUCCUCCCUGCCCUCCAGGCAGCGCUCAGCCCACGGUAGAAAUGUCUUGCAUCUUUUUUCCGACGAGGAAGAAUUGAACUUUUUAUACCCAACUUUUCUGCUUUCUUAGAAAUGUUGACUCACCUGUGAGGAAGCAUUAUUUGAAACUAUUAUUGUAAAUUGCUUGACAUUUGAAUUAGAUGCUGAAAGAUUAAAGGGUCUCAGAAGAAUCUUUUAAGCUAGACUGGAAUUGACUCUGCCUAAAUGGACAGCAACAGUCAUCUAUACGCAGGAAUAAUAAAGCAGGUGGAGGCAGCCUCUAACUUACCUUCCAGCCACACCGUAGAAUUUCCUGAGCAGGCUUUUUUGUCAGAGUUUUGAGCUGGGUUCCCUGAGACUGGAUUGGGGCUUUCAGUUUCUCCCCUUCUAGAGUCAGACUUCUUCCUGAAGAAAAAGUGUUAUCUCUACUUCCCUAUCACAAACACUUCCUAGAACACAGCCCUGUUAAAAGGGCCUUGAGGAGAAGAACCACAUCUCCUCCAGCAUUUUGAUCCCUAAGGCACAAAUCCACUACAAUCCGGAGCAGAUCCUUGGUCAGUGGGUUGUCAUUGAGGUGGGUCUUAACUGCUGCAGCUACAAAUGUACACUGUCUAAUAGAUGAAGAGGAACCCAUCCCUUUGAUGUGUUCCUUAAUAUCCAGUACAUAAUGAUCAUAUAUGGAAGGAAGUCUGACCAGACACUCUUCGAUGACGGUGUUAGCCACAAUUCUCACUCUCUCACCUUCCCAUCCCACUUCUUGUGCUUUCCAAACUAAAAUUGAAAUAUCCUAAGCCCCACUACCAAGGUUGGCAGUAUUUUUUUUAAUGCCUGUAAUUGAUUGUGCAGAGUAAAUAUUUGUGUACGUUUAUGAAGGUCCGUGGGAGUUUCUUACUUUCCCAGAACUCCACGUCACAUGAGGCUGGCCUUCAUCGGAAUGUUCCUGCUUUCAACAAACAGGUCCUGAGUGAGCCCCUUUGCUGUGCAGAACAAUGGUGAUACAUACAGGCGAGAGCAAAACCCACGAGGUGUCCACCUCACGGCCGACCACAAGAGAUCCUCAAGAGACACAUCUCAGGAAUGAUUCUGAACCUUCUUCACCAAAUAAAAUAUUCCAGAAAUAGUAUUAGAUUUAAUGUGUGUGUCCCUCCUUGCUGGUCUUCCUAGCAGCAGCCUUCUUGUUUCUUGCCUUUUUAGGCAAACAGCCUGAAACUUAGCACAGACGGUGGAAUUGCAGCACCUAUGAAGAUAUCACUGCAUCCUUUUUGCCUCAGGACAUCUUACUGAAAAUCAUUCUAUGUUAAAGCUAUACAUUUUGCUGAAAUUUUGAAGACAAACAUCAAUGGUGAAUUAUAAACUUGUAUUUGCCUAAAGGCUAGUGUGAACUUAUCACUUUCGCCUUCCCCCAGGCCAAGAUUUUCCCUCCCCUUGUUGCCCAAGCCUCACUUUCUAU